UAUGUACUCCCUCUAUCUGAAAAUACUUGUCAUCAUAAUGGAUAAAAAGGGAUGUAUUUAGAAUUAGAAUACGUCUAGAUACAUCUCCUUUUAUUCAUUUUGAUGACAAGUAUUUUCGGAUCCAUGGCUUUCUUC
Non-coding RNA from Triticum aestivum (bread wheat), 135 nucleotides. The record is from Rfam. NCBI's taxonomy places the organism in Eukaryota, Viridiplantae, Streptophyta, Magnoliopsida, Poales, Poaceae.